UGUUUUUCCAUCUUUUCCAGGCAAAUCAGUUGUUGAUGUUGAUUAACUUUUUUACCUAAAAUCAGCUAAGCAAAUCACUAUUUCUGGAAGGUGUUGAUUUAUUUUCCUUUUUCCCGUUUCUACAGUUAAGGUCCUCUGUUAUUUGAUAGCAUGUCAUUUUUACUUAUGCUGUUGCAAGAAUCAGGCAGAGUCGAGAUUGAAGAAGAAACUCAUGCAUGCGAUGUGCGUGUGAUCUAGAACUUAUUGUUUUGGACAAUAUAAUUUGGAGCUAGCAUCCAUUUGAAGUGUCAACAGUCCUUAGAAGUUGUUUAUAACAAUUUGAUGAACUGGAGGAUCUACUCGAGUGAUGAA
Molecule: non-coding RNA, 351 nt
Organism: Prunus avium (sweet cherry)
Lineage: Eukaryota; Viridiplantae; Streptophyta; Magnoliopsida; Rosales; Rosaceae
Source: RefSeq, a predicted model, not a curated record